CCCUUGGCACCAAGUUUGCAAUGUAUGCCACCCAGACUGCUCCCCUGUUGAGUGUCGAGCAAGAGGAAAAAAGGAGCAAUAGAGUUUCUGCACUUGUUCAAUCCCAGGUCUCCUGAAUGUUUCAACAGUUUCAGCACUGCUCAGUAAGCACUAGCUGGACCAAAGCAAUACAAAGCCAUUGCAGCAAUCCAAAGCACUGCACUAGCUACCCAGUUUCAGCAAUAUCACAGGGCAGACAUUGAGUGACUAUGAUGAGGGCAAGAUCAAGCCACUAAUCCAUGCAAUAAUUCGAAUUUAUGCAUUGGAGGGUGUCCUGGUUUUCCUUGCUGCCAAGUCUCGAUUUAUCAAGAACACCGGAAAGGCUGCUGAUCUCCAGAACUACUGUAUUGUGCGUUGAGAUGCUCAUAGCAGCCAUUGGGCACCUAUUUGCCUUUCCCUACAAGGAGUAUGCAGGUCCAAAUGCCCGUCCGUCUGGUGGUUUCAGGGAAAGCCUUAUUCAUGCUUCAAAAUUCAACGAUUUCUACCAUGACACAGUUCACCAGUGGUGAUGUCCUAUUAGGUGUCUGGGUGCCGACAUUGGCAGCGACAGACUGCUCCCAUGUUGAGUGUCGAACAAGAGGAGAGAAGGAGCAACAGAGUUUCAUCACUUGUUAAAUCCCAGGUCUCCUAUGAGCUGAACGUUUCAGCAGUUUCAGCACUAGCUCAAGUAUCACACGACAGACAUUGAGUGUCUACGAUGAGGGCAAGAUUAAGUCUCUGAAUCCUCCACAAUAAGGCAGAGCAAUGAACAAAUAAUUAUCAUGGAGCUACCUAAUUGUCACAUGAAAUUUGUGGUAAGAACUCAUUGCAGCAACGAGACACAUGUUUUUCACAUAUUGCUGGAACUCAAAGUGUCAGAUCUGGGAGCCAAUCAAAUUAAAUUUGCCUGAAUGCACUCAGUCAUGAUCGCAUUAUUUAGGACCUACCAGCUCAAGAAUUUGAAAUGGUUCCAGCGGCAGAGCUGACAUCGAUGGACCUCGCCUCCAUGGCUUCUCGUUGAGAAGGAGGCCACCGGGAGCAGCUUGUACAUCCUCCGACGGUGAGCGGAGUGGCGGGAGCAGGUUGCAGGCGCGGCCUCCACGCCGGGAGGAGAAGCUG
This is a long non-coding RNA of Lolium rigidum, 1137 nucleotides long. RefSeq lists it as uncharacterized. The record is from RefSeq and is a predicted model, not a curated record. NCBI's taxonomy places the organism in Eukaryota, Viridiplantae, Streptophyta, Magnoliopsida, Poales, Poaceae. The transcript has 3 exons.